Molecule: ribosomal RNA, 253 nt
Filed under: uncultured bacterium
Lineage: Bacteria
Description: partial 16S ribosomal RNA
Rfam family: Bacterial small subunit ribosomal RNA
Source: RNAcentral
UACGUAGGGUGCAAGCGUUGUCCGGAAUUAUUGGGCGUAAAGAGCGCGUAGGCGGCUCGUCGCGUCGGGUGUGAAAUCCCGGGGCUCAACUCCGGGUCUGCAGUCGAUACGGGCGGGCUUGAGGACUGCAGGGGAGACUGGAAUUCCUGGUGUAGCGGUGAAAUGCGCAGAUAUCAGGAGGAACACCGGUGGCGAAGGCGGGUCUCUGGGCCGUUACUGACGCUGAGGAGCGAAAGCGUGGGGAGCGAACAGG